Molecule: non-coding RNA, 243 nt
Filed under: Clostridiaceae bacterium BL-3
Lineage: Bacteria; Bacillati; Bacillota; Clostridia; Eubacteriales; Clostridiaceae
Description: T-box
Rfam family: T-box leader
About the family: Uncharged tRNA acts as the effector for transcription antitermination of genes in the T-box leader family. T-boxes are found upstream of many aminoacyl-tRNA synthetase genes and some amino acid biosynthetic genes usually in Gram-positive bacteria. The anticodon of a specific tRNA base pairs to a specifier sequence within the T-box motif, and the NCCA acceptor tail of the tRNA base pairs to a conserved bulge in the T-box antiterminator hairpin.
Source: RNAcentral
AUAAAUGCUGUGAAAAGAAAUAGUAAGUAUUUUAGAUUUUAAGAGAGAAGUUGGCCGGUGUGAAACUUUAAUGAAAAAAUAUUGAACCAGUCUUGGAGCUAUGAACCGAAAGAACAUCCAGUAGGCUUCAUCGGAAAUUCCACCGCUAUCAGGAAAACAGUAUCAAGAUAUGUCUUCGUACUGGUUGAGUGCAGUUCUUACUGAAUUUAGGUGGCAACACGGAAAAGUAUAUUCGCCCUAAGU